RNAcentral lists this ribosomal RNA (156 nucleotides) under Hemicycliophora conida. RNAcentral describes it as "5.8S ribosomal RNA". It matches the Rfam family "5.8S ribosomal RNA". From Rfam's summary of the family: 5.8S ribosomal RNA (5.8S rRNA) is a component of the large subunit of the eukaryotic ribosome. It is transcribed by RNA polymerase I as part of the 45S precursor that also contains 18S and 28S rRNA. Functionally, it is thought that 5.8S rRNA may be involved in ribosome translocation. Lineage: Eukaryota; Metazoa; Nematoda; Chromadorea; Rhabditida; Hemicycliophoridae. The record is from RNAcentral.
UUAGUCUUGCCGGUGGAUCACUCGGCUCGUAGGUCGAUGAAGAUNGCAGCCAAAUGCGAUAGNUAGUGCGAACUGCAGAUAUUCCGAGCACUAAGGUGUCGAAUGUACAUUACGCCUUCGGAUUUACAUCCGUUGGCACGCCUGGUUCAGGGUCGU